Salmo salar (Atlantic salmon) is the source of this 54-nucleotide non-coding RNA. Lineage: Eukaryota; Metazoa; Chordata; Actinopteri; Salmoniformes; Salmonidae. The record is from Rfam.
UGAAUUCACUACUGUAAGUUGCUCUGGAUAAGAGCGUCUACUAAAUGACUAAAA